Long non-coding RNA from Agrilus planipennis (emerald ash borer), 1018 nucleotides. RefSeq lists it as uncharacterized. The record is from RefSeq and is a predicted model, not a curated record. The transcript is spliced from 5 exons. Lineage: Eukaryota; Metazoa; Arthropoda; Insecta; Coleoptera; Buprestidae.
UCUAGAUUUGAGGUUUUGUUUUGGUUUGACGUUGACCGUCAAAAUUAAUUGUUUUUUCUUAUUAAUUGUAAGUUGUCAAUAUUUUAAAAGUUAGGAGCCAUCAACCCCACAACAAAAUGUGCACGAAUUUCAUCGAAUGUUUACCGUCAAAGUGAUUUAAAAUAAUACUAUGUAAGAAGCCAUACCUGAAGACUGUCAUUUGCAUGGCGUAACCAGUCUGUUUUAUCACAAUGAAGAUGGUAAAAAGCAGCUAUUAGAGUCUCAGAGGGACAUGUACAGAGAACAAGAUACAAAUAAUAGCUUUAUGACAGGAUGUAAAAUGAAUUCUGCAGUCCAUGGUACAUAUCUUAAUCUAACGGUACUAAACCUUCUGUUACAGCGUGGUGCUUCUAAACAUUGGUGUAUUUAUUGAUAUGAAAUGUAAAUGCAAAAUAAUGUCAGUAAUGUAUUGGUUCUAAGUGCUUUUAAAAAGUUUUGAUGUAUUGUUAAUGUUGCAGGAGAUUCAACAAUAUCUCCCAAACGAUCAUCAUUUUAGACCAUCUUUCAGAUCAUUCUCUCUCUUAACUCAAGUACAAUAGUGCCCUUAAGUGACUUUAAAUAGUUUAAUAAAGGUUUAAGUAUUAAGAAGACCUGCAGAUAUAAAUGUUGAUCAAAUACGUACUACCUGCAGUAAAUUUAGCAAGCAAAGUACGUAGCUAAUUCUUGUCAAAUUAACAGGAAAGAUGUAAAAUGGAAUUCUUUCUAAGAUCUGUUGACAAUUUCUGAAAAUAUCCGCUUUUUUCAGAUGCAAUUAUCAACCAGUUUCCUUCAGCUUUAGAGAAAAUAAGUAAAAUGUAAAGCUUUAUGGGAAGCUUUAACAAUUUUUGAAAAUCUCAGUCGUAAACUGUUACUGAAAUAGCUAAAGAAAAGGGCAUUUUUUAAAAUGGAAGUUUUUACCCUAUUCCUUCAAAUUUACACAAAAUAAGUAAAAUGUAAUGCUAUUUUUAUAAACAGAUAAUUAAAUAGACAAAGAAACUUU